Molecule: ribosomal RNA, 460 nt
Filed under: uncultured bacterium
Lineage: Bacteria
Description: partial 16S ribosomal RNA
Rfam family: Bacterial small subunit ribosomal RNA
Source: RNAcentral
CCUACGGGAGGCAGCAGUGAGGAAUAUUGGUCAAUGGGCGAGAGCCUGAACCAGCCAAGUCGCGUGAAGGAUGACGGCCCUACGGGUUGUAAACUUCUUUUGUCAGGGAGCAAUUGGGUCCACGCGUGGGCUUAGCGAGAGUACCUGAAGAAAAAGCAUCGGCUAACUCCGUGCCAGCAGCCGCGGUAAUACGGAGGAUGCGAGCGUUAUCCGGAUUUAUUGGGUUUAAAGGGUGCGUAGGCGGAAUAUCAAGUCAGCGGUAAAAAUUCGGGGCUCAACCCCGUCGUGCCGUUGAAACUGAUGUUCUUGAGUGGGCGAGAAGUAUGCGGAAUGCGUGGUGUAGCGGUGAAAUGCAUAGAUAUCACGCAGAACUCCGAUUGCGAAGGCAGCAUACCGGCGCCCAACUGACGCUGAGGCACGAAAGCGCGGGGAUCGAACAGGAUUAGAUACCCCUGUAGUC